This 478-nucleotide ribosomal RNA is filed under the name uncultured bacterium. RNAcentral describes it as "partial 16S ribosomal RNA". It matches the Rfam family "Bacterial small subunit ribosomal RNA", at positions 28 to 507 of the family's 1533-position model. The record is from RNAcentral.
GAUGAACGCUAGCGGCAGGCCUAACACAUGCAAGUCGAGGGAGAAGCCCUUUCGGGGGCAGAAACCGGCGCACGGGUGCGUAACGCGUAUGCAACCUACCUUUCACAGGGGGAUAGCCCGAAGAAAUUUGGAUUAAUACCCCAUAAUAUUAUUGGAUGGCAUCAUUUGAUAAUUAAAACUGCGGUGGUGAAAGAUGGGCAUGCGUCCUAUUAGCUAGUUGGAGUGGUAACGGCACCCCAAGGCUACGAUAGGUAGGGGUCCUGAGAGGGAGAUCCCCCACACUGGUACUGAGACAGGGACCAGACUCCUACGGGAGGCAGCAGUGUGGAAUAUUGGUCAAUGGUCGGUAGACUGAACCAGCCAUGCCGCGUGCAGGAAGAAUGCCUUAUGGGUUGUAAACUGCUUUUAUAUGGGAAGAAUAAGGUGUACGUGUACAUUGAUGACGGUACCAUAUGAAUAAGCAUCGGCUAACUCCGUG